This 74-nucleotide transfer RNA is filed under the name Mesorhizobium sp. LNJC403B00. RNAcentral describes it as "tRNA-Glu". The record is from RNAcentral. RNAcentral also lists the same sequence under 6 other names. Lineage: Bacteria; Pseudomonadati; Pseudomonadota; Alphaproteobacteria; Hyphomicrobiales; Phyllobacteriaceae.
GCGCCCAUCGUCUAGCGGUCAGGACACCGCCCACUCACGACGGGACCAAGGUUCGAUUCCCCUUGGGCGUACCA